AUUGAACGCUGGCGGAAUGCUUUACACAUGCAAGUCGAACGGCAGCACGGACUUCGGUCUGGUGGCGAGUGGCGAACGGGUGAGUAAUGUACCGGAACGUGCGCAGUCGUGGGGGAUAACGUAGUGAAAAUUACGCUAAUACCGCAUACGAUCUAUGGAUGAAAGCGGGGGAUCGCAAGACCUCGCCCGAUUGGAGCGGCCAAUAUCAGAUUAGGUAGUUGGUGGGGUAAAGGCCCACCAAGCCAACGAUCUGUAGCUGGUCUGAGAGGACGACCAGCCACACUGGAACUGAGACACGGUCCAGACUCCUACGGGAGGCAGCAGUGGGGAAUUUUGGACAAUGGGCGAAAGCCUGAUCCAGCCAUUCCGCGUGCAGGAUGAAGGCCCUCGGGUUGUAAACUGCUUUUGUACAGAACGAAAAGGUUUCUACUAAUACUAGGAGCUCAUGACGGUACUGUAGGAAUAAGCACCGGCUAACUACGUGCCAGCCGCCGCGGUAA
Molecule: ribosomal RNA, 500 nt
Filed under: uncultured bacterium
Lineage: Bacteria
Description: partial 16S ribosomal RNA
Rfam family: Bacterial small subunit ribosomal RNA
Source: RNAcentral